Long non-coding RNA from Astatotilapia calliptera (eastern happy), 1248 nucleotides. NCBI's taxonomy places the organism in Eukaryota, Metazoa, Chordata, Actinopteri, Cichliformes, Cichlidae. The record is from Ensembl.
GUCACCUCCUCCAGAUAGGAAGCUCAGGUAAUUAGCUGCACUCACCUCAAGCGAAGGCAAAUAUCCUGUUUGAAGAGAGCACUGUUCUGACUCACUGAUCCUGAGGGGGACACUCACAGUCCCUCCUUACCAAAGGGAGACCACCUUCAAUGGUGUGAUGGGCAAAGUAUCUAAUCUUCCUGCACGGAUAGUUUGCAUCCUCCCACCUAAGAAAUUGUCACCCAGAUUAACGAUUUAACCCCUAAACAUUCCUCUGUGUCCUGCAGGGGCAAUCAAAUGCGUCUGUAAACUCACAGUGACAACAAUUGUGCUCUGACGUUACACACUCACAGACAAAUCACUUAAUCACAUGAUCCCGAGGGUCAGCUCGGGACCACGAGACCUGGUGAGUAGCAAGCUAGUAGAGUAAGAAGGGAUAAUCUGAUUUCUUUCACCAACCGCAGCCCUCCUCCCCUUAGAGGAUCGAACACCUCUGGCCAUUAACGAUGUGCACUGACACACGCACGCACACAGAUGAUCCAUUCAAAGGUUCUUAACCUGAGUGCUUGUGCAGACUGCUGAUCCACUCAUCUCUUAUGACGCUGUCACUGUGCUCUGUAGUUCAUCUAUAUUACUGACACACAACACGAAUUUGGAAAGAAAAGAAAGAAAGAAAGAAAGAAAGAAAGAAAGAAAGAAAGAAAGAAAGAAAGAAAGAAAGAAAGAGGAGAAUAAACACGACAUAAAAGACUCACCCACAGCAUCACCACAGCAAUUAGGCACAGUUUGAACCAAUGAAAAUCAAAACCUAUGCUCUCAAACAAACCCUCCAUAAUCCAAUUUUUACUUAACCUCUACAGAGCAGCUGGACUCCCUGUGCACUAACCGCAUUGAGGUACUUACCACAUAUACACUCAGACAUAAAAAAAAAUACCAUCACCUCACAGAAAGGGUUUUUGGAUAAAUGUUGAAAAUAACAAAGAGGCCGCCUUUAACGGUGGAAAAUAAUAUUUAUCUCAGUGCCGACUGCUGAUACCAUCUGUCACACGUUCUGUAAAAGCAGGUCCCAUAAACACGUCAUGUAAACACUGUGAUAUUUUUAAAUGUCACUACAGAGAGCCUCCCUUUUCCCUCUAUAGUGGUCUAGGCACUCAUCUCCUUCUCCUGUUUUACCUUGCACAUCUUUGACUCACAUGCAGUUAAACUAGGCCUGGACCAUAAAAAUUGACAUAAAGAAAACUUAAUUUACAGUACGGUGCUCUGCAAAAG